UUCCGUAGGUGAACCUGCGGAAGGAUCAUUCGCACAAAGAAUUUUCUAUUCCACCCGCCACGCACCAUACAGUGCAACCUGUUUUAUCAUUAGGAAUUUUUCCAACUCAUCGAUGUUGCAAUCUCAUUGUAAUGUUUACGAUGUUAUUUAUCUCUUGCAUCGACGAAUGCCUUGGCUCGAGGAUCGUUGAAGGACGCAGCGAACUGUGCUAAACAUCUCGAAUUGCAGAUUUCCGAGAAAGAAAAGGAUUCUGAACGCAUUCUGCGAGUUGACCUCGUGUUAACUCACGUGAUUGGCGGUGACCGCAAUAUGCAGUCGCUCGAACUCCGAAGUUUGAGUGGUGUUCACAUGUUGUCGCAGAUUGUUGCGCCGACAUGUUCGUGGAAUUCGACGCGCCUCUCGUUUUCGAGCAGCAUUAUGAUUUCGUGUCAUGAUGUUCGAACUCAGAGACGUUUCCUUUGUUUGGUUUCCAAACAUUUUUUCUACGCACGCUCACGACCAGUCACGGGAUUACCCGCUGAAUUUGAGCAUAUCAAUAAGCGGAGG
RNAcentral lists this ribosomal RNA (546 nucleotides) under uncultured eukaryote. RNAcentral describes it as "eukaryotic LSU rRNA". The stretch from base 152 to 304 matches the Rfam family "5.8S ribosomal RNA". The record is from RNAcentral.